AAUUUAAUGGCUGCAGUAUAAUUGACUGUACAAAGGUAGCAUAAUCAAUUGUUUUUUAAUUA
RNAcentral lists this transfer RNA (62 nucleotides) under Bombus lucorum (white-tailed bumblebee). Its description in RNAcentral is "tRNA-Cys". The record is from RNAcentral. Lineage: Eukaryota; Metazoa; Arthropoda; Insecta; Hymenoptera; Apidae.